Ictalurus punctatus (channel catfish) is the source of this 1193-nucleotide long non-coding RNA. NCBI's taxonomy places the organism in Eukaryota, Metazoa, Chordata, Actinopteri, Siluriformes, Ictaluridae. The record is from Ensembl.
AUAUAUAUAUAUAUAUAUAUAUAUAAAUGUGUAUAUAUAAAUGUAUAUGUGUAUGUGUGUGAAUAUUAUCAGAAUGCUGAACAGGUUUUACAGCAGUGACGCUCAGACUCUGUAUCUGGUACUGAGUUAGUCUGAGUAGUAACUGUGUGUGUGAUGUCACACCUGUGAUGUCAUCAUUAGCGUCACAUGACAGUUGAGUGAAGACUGAAGGAAUAGAGCACUACUGUAAUAGAAGAUAAGUGGUGUAUUCGAUCCCCCUGUUUCUCUUCACAGUUGGUUCAAUCCAUAAUCUGAUUAAUCUGGUAUGAUUCCACCCUCUAUUUUCAGAAAUGGUUUAUUCCAGGCAUUUAUAUAUUGAUGUAUUGUUAAUCAGAUCAUGCUGUAUCAAAAAAUGGUCCAGGGGUGGAUGUGGGAUAGAUAAUAUAUCACAUUCCCCCUCUGGUCAGAAAUGGUUUGUUCUCAGGACCACAGUGCCCUUGUUCAGCACUGAGACCGAGGAGUCCAUCUUUAUGAAGAUGGACCAAACCAUUCAUCCAUCCAUACCAUUUCCAAAGCAGGGGGAUCCAAAACAGCAGAUGUCAUCCAUGUGCAGCAGUCUCCUAACGUCUCUACAGAACAUUCCACCUUAUGAGAUCACUGUGACAUCAUACAGCAGUUAAAACGCACGGUUCUGUUAGCGUGAUGUGGUCUGAACACCAGAAUGUUAAACAUUUCCUGUCUGACUCAGAGAACACAAGCACUCAUAUUUACACAUCAUUUAAUCUUCAUGCUUCUCUAAUGUGCUCUUAAACCUUUACUGCUUUCCUUUGUUUAGUUUAAACGCCUAUGAUUAAACUCGCUCUCAGGGCUUGUUGUGUAAAUACUGACACACGCACGCACACAGAGCCAUGCUGAUGAGGGGGAAGAAUUAUUUUUAUUAUAAAAAAAACAUUAAUUUUAAAUGUGAUGUAAAUAGUUUCAAGUUGCACUAAAAUACUGGUCUGGAAAUAAAUAAUUAUUAUGAAACAACACACUUUGAUUGUGACUUAAUAACACACACUGGUUUCACCUCCAUGUCCUAUACAUCAUCAUCAUCUAUAAAGCUUUUAUGUGAACUAUGACGCCCCUAGUGGGAUUCUCAGGUAGUGCUGUAGUUUCAGGUAGCAUUCUCCAGGACACCUGGGGGUGCUGUUGUGUGGGCAUGGCUUACUGAG